RNAcentral lists this ribosomal RNA (492 nucleotides) under uncultured bacterium. RNAcentral describes it as "partial 16S ribosomal RNA". It matches the Rfam family "Bacterial small subunit ribosomal RNA", at positions 29 to 507 of the family's 1533-position model. The record is from RNAcentral.
AGUGAACGCUGGCGGUAGGCCUAACACAUGCAAGUCGAACGGCAGCACAGUAAGAGCUUGCUCUUACGGGUGGCGAGUGGCGGACGGGUGAGGAAUACAUCGGAAUCUACUUUUUCGUGGGGGAUAACGUAGGGAAACUUACGCUAAUACCGCAUACGACCUACGGGUGAAAGCAGGGGAUCUUCGGACCUUGCGCGAUUGAAUGAGCCGAUGUCGGAUUAGCUAGUUGGCGGGGUAAAGGCCCACCAAGGCGACGAUCCGUAGCUGGUCUGAGAGGAUGAUCAGCCACACUGGAACUGAGACACGGUCAAGACUCCUACGGGAGGCAGCAGUGGGGAAUAUUGGACAAUGGGCGCAAGCCUGAUCCAGCCAUACCGCGUGGGUGAAGAAGGCCUUCGGGUUGUAAAGACCUUUUGUUGGGAAAGAAAAGCAGCAGGUUAAUACCCAGCUGUUCUGACGGUACCCAAAGAAUAAGCACCGGCUAACUUCGUG